AACGAACGCUGGCGGCAUGCCUAACACAUGCAAGUCGAACGAGACCUUCGGGUCUAGUGGCGCAAGGGUGCGUAACGCGUGGGAACCUGCCCUUAGGUUCGGAAUAACUCCCCGAAAGGGGUUCUAAUACCGGAUAAUGUCUUCGGACCAAAGAUUUAUCGCCUUUGGAUGGGCCCGCGUUGGAUUAGCUAGUUGGUAGGGUAAAAGCCUACCAAGGCGACGAUCCAUAGCUGGUCUGAGAGGAUGAUCAGCCACACUGGGACUGAGACACGGCCCAGACUCCUACGGGAGGCAGCAGUGGGGAAUAUUGGACAAUGGGCGAAAGCCUGAUCCAGCAAUGCCGCGUGAGUGAUGAAGGCCUUAGGGUUGUAAAGCUCUUUUACCCGGGAUGAUAAUGACAGUACCGGGAGAAUAAGCUCCGGCUAACUCCGUG
This 433-nucleotide ribosomal RNA is filed under the name uncultured bacterium. RNAcentral describes it as "partial 16S ribosomal RNA". It matches the Rfam family "Bacterial small subunit ribosomal RNA", at positions 29 to 507 of the family's 1533-position model. The record is from RNAcentral.